This 492-nucleotide ribosomal RNA is filed under the name uncultured bacterium. Its description in RNAcentral is "partial 16S ribosomal RNA". It matches the Rfam family "Bacterial small subunit ribosomal RNA", at positions 29 to 507 of the family's 1533-position model. The record is from RNAcentral.
AGUGAACGCUGGCGGUAGGCCUAACACAUGCAAGUCGAACGGCCGCACAGUAAGAGCUUGCUCUUACGGGUGGCGAGUGGCGGACGGGUGAGGAAUACAUCGGAAUCUACUUUUUCGUGGGGGAUAACGUAGGGAAACUUCCGCUAAUACCGCAUACGACCUACGGGUGAAAGCAGGGGAUCUUCGGACCUUGCGCGAUUGAAUGAGCCGAUGUCGGAUUAGCUAGUUGGCGGGGUAAAGGCCCACCAAGGCGACGAUCCGUAGCUGGUCUGAGAGGAUGAUCAGCCACACUGGAACUGAGACACGGUCCAGACUCCUACGGGAGGCAGCAGUGGGGAAUAUUGGACAAUGGGCGCAAGCCUGAUCCAGCCAUACCGCGUGGGUGAAGAAGGCCUUCGGGUUGUAAAGCCCUUUUGUUGGGAAAGAAGAGCAGCAGGUUAAUACCCCGCUGUUCUGACGGUACCCAAAGAAUAAGCACCGGCUAACUUCGUG